UAGGGAAUCUUCGGCAAUGGACGGAAGUCUGACCGAGCAACGCCGCGUGAGUGAAGAAGGUUUUCGGAUCGUAAAGCUCUGUUGUAAGAGAAGAACGAGUGUGAGAGUGGAAAGUUCACACUGUGACGGUAUCUUACCAGAAAGGGACGGCUAACUACGUGCCAGCAGCCGCGGUAAUACGUAGGUCCCGAGCGUUAUCCGGAUUUAUUGGGCGUAAAGCGAGCGCAGGCGGUUAGAUAAGUCUGAAGUUAAAGGCUGUGGCUUAACCAUAGUACGCUUUGGAAACUGUUUAACUUGAGUGCAGAAGGGGAGAGUGGAAUUCCAUGUGUAGCGGUGAAAUGCGUAGAUAUAUGGAGGAACACCGGUGGCGAAAGCGGCUCUCUGGUCUGUAACUGACGCUGAGGCUCGAAAGCGUGGGGAGCAAACAGGAUUAGAUACCCUGGUAGUCCACGCCGUANCGAUGAGUGCUAGGUGUUGGGUCCUUUCCGGGACUCAGUGCCGCAGCUAACGCAUUAAGCACUCCGCCUGGGGAGUACGACCGCAAGGUUG
RNAcentral lists this ribosomal RNA (549 nucleotides) under uncultured bacterium. Its description in RNAcentral is "bacterial SSU rRNA". It matches the Rfam family "Bacterial small subunit ribosomal RNA", at positions 355 to 896 of the family's 1533-position model. The record is from RNAcentral.